UGCAUGCUGGCAAUUUGACUGUAAAUCACAAAGGGCACCUGAGGGGUAUGAAACAACACAGACCCCCAACCCACAGUGUCAACCAACCAGUAUGAAGGAGGCUUGUUACCACACAUCUGUUUGCUGCACUGAAGCAUGCAAGCACACACUUGAUGAACAGCAUGUCACAGUCUACAACUUCAAGUUGUUAAGAUGGUGCAUGUGUUCACGCUUAACAGCAACUCCAAAGACACUACCCGUCGACGAAUAGAUGUCCAAGACCAGCCUAUGAUAGAUGAUCUGCACUCUCCAGUAAAGGUGGAAUCCUCGAAAGGUUCACUAAU
Molecule: long non-coding RNA, 323 nt
Organism: Asterias rubens (European starfish)
Lineage: Eukaryota; Metazoa; Echinodermata; Asteroidea; Forcipulatida; Asteriidae
Exons: 4
Source: RefSeq, a predicted model, not a curated record